This is a long non-coding RNA of Triticum aestivum (bread wheat), 841 nucleotides long. RefSeq lists it as uncharacterized. The transcript is spliced from 2 exons. The record is from RefSeq and is a predicted model, not a curated record. NCBI's taxonomy places the organism in Eukaryota, Viridiplantae, Streptophyta, Magnoliopsida, Poales, Poaceae.
UCAAUCUCCGCGGUGCCGUCGGGGAGGAGGGGCUGGGGCGGCCGUGUCUGGUGCGCUCUCGCUACUCAUCGACCUUGCUGUUACUACCUCAUCCUUGAAGCCAUGGGUGCCCUCUAAUUUUCCCUUUGGAGUGUUCAAUGCAAACUGCAAAAGUAGAGCUGGUUGGCUGGCUAAUCAGCUUAGCUGUUGAUUUGAUCAGGGGAUAGCAUAUGAAGUGAGUAAACGGAAAGAACGUGAGCGUCCAAGCAGGAACUGCAAAUGCUCUAUUUUAGUCAAAGCAUGGGAAUGUGCCCAAGGGAAAGGUAUUUGUGUGAUUGAUCAGAACUACAUACAUAACAAUGCAAGGACACAAUAUAAUUGGGCAUUUUCAAGGCUAGCACAUGGAGCGGCAAAAGGGAGGAGGAGCUACCACGGAGGCUAGGUAACUCGAGGAUGUUCUAGAAUUAGUGUAGAAUAUGCCUGACUCUACAAGAAAAUACAUCGGAUAAUUAGGAAACAAGGCACUGACAAAAAAACAAGAAAAUACAGAGACCAAAUACUUGAGGGGCUGCAACUCUGCAAGACUGAAAUUAACAAAAAGCUAAGCCUUUUAUUGUUUAGAUAAACAAACAGCUAAGUCAGUUGAGGAGUGAUCUCCGCAGCUCCCAGGUCACUAGAGGAGUCAAAGAUUGUCCGCUGAAAGACGGACAAGUGAUCAUGUUUUAUCAUUGUUUGAAAGGAGUAGUGGACGCGGAUGUAUGUAUAUUUUUCGUUCAAAGUAAUGGAAGUGCAAAUUUGUAUAUACUUUACUGGCAUUAUUUAGUGGAUUUUAUCAUAUUUAAUAAAUUGGAUUUUAUACUGU